This 468-nucleotide ribosomal RNA is filed under the name uncultured bacterium. Its description in RNAcentral is "partial 16S ribosomal RNA". It matches the Rfam family "Bacterial small subunit ribosomal RNA", at positions 28 to 507 of the family's 1533-position model. The record is from RNAcentral.
GACGAACGCUGGCGGCGUGCUUAACACAUGCAAGUCGAACGGAAAGGCCCUGCUUUUGUGGGGUGCUCGAGUGGCGAACGGGUGAGUAACACGUGAGUAACCUGCCCUUGACUUUGGGAUAACUUCCGGAAACUGGGGCUAUUCCCGGUUAGAAGCUCCUGCUGCAUGGUGGGGGUUGGAAAGUUUAGGCGGUUGGGGUUGGCCGCGCGGCUUAUCAGCUUGUUGGGGGGGUAGUGGCUUACCAAGGCUUUGACGGGUAGCCGGCCUGAGAGGGUGACCGGGCACAUGGCGACUGAGAGACGGCCCAGACGGCUACGGGAGGCAGCAGUGGGGAAUAUUGCACAAUGGGCGGAAGCGUGAUGCAGCAACGCCGCGUGCGGGAUGACGGCCUUCGGGUUGUAAACCGCUUUCGCCUGUUACGAAGCGUGAGUGACGGUAAUGGGUAAAGAAGCACCGGCUAACUACGUG